Molecule: long non-coding RNA, 434 nt
Filed under: Mytilus galloprovincialis (Mediterranean mussel)
Lineage: Eukaryota; Metazoa; Mollusca; Bivalvia; Mytilida; Mytilidae
Source: RNAcentral
AUGCAAUACUCUCAGAAAUCUUGUUUUCCUGAAUGCUUUUGCCAAAUAAAGGAUUUCAUUUUAAUUGCAGAUUUGUUGAAAAAUUCAGAAUGAGAUACAUGUAUUCUCAAAUUGACUGUAGUCGUUCCGAUUAGAAAUGACUGUCUCGUGAAUUUUAAAUCUGUUACUGUCCUCCUUACGUACAACCGGGCGCAUUUCAUUUGCGCCAAUUUUUAAAAAAUCAAACCUUUCAUUUGCGCCACAAGGUUAUAUAUCAUUUGCGCCAAAAAAAAACAAACCUUCAUUUGCGCCAUUUUACAGGUAUGACAGGUAAUAUAACGGAAAAGUUAAAUAUUAUUUACGAUUUAUUUUGUUUUUUGUUUGUACAUAACUCCCCCUGGAUAUAUGUGUGAGUUCAUACUCAUUUGUAAUACAAAACUGAGAGUCACUAAGGU